RNAcentral lists this non-coding RNA (309 nucleotides) under Lachnoclostridium sp. RNAcentral's name for it is "T-box sequence". It matches the Rfam family "T-box leader". Rfam says of the family: Uncharged tRNA acts as the effector for transcription antitermination of genes in the T-box leader family. T-boxes are found upstream of many aminoacyl-tRNA synthetase genes and some amino acid biosynthetic genes usually in Gram-positive bacteria. The record is from RNAcentral. Lineage: Bacteria; Bacillati; Bacillota; Clostridia; Lachnospirales; Lachnospiraceae.
GCAAAGACAAGGAAGAGGAGUAGUAGGAGUUUGGCUGUCGUUUCUCCGGAACUGACAGUUAUGCCGCUUGCAGAGAACUGCCGGGAGGUGCGAGGCAGCAGGGCAGGCUCUGAACUGACCUUGGAGUCCUUCUGCUGAAUCCGGUCGUGAUCUGGUCAGGCAGGAGCGGGAGUUCCCGUUAUAGAAUGAAUGAGUGCAUCUGCCCGGUUCGGAACAGAAGAAGAUCAAUGUUUACACAGGAUUUUUCCGCAACGCAGGAGCAGAUGAAUAAGAGUGGUACCGCGGAAAUGAAGCCUUUUCGUCUCUUGG